CCUACGUGAUGCAGCAGUGAGGAAUAUUGGUCAAUGGGCGCGAGCCUGAACCAGCCAAGUAGCGUGAAGGAUGACUGCCCUACGGGUUUUAAACUUCUUUUAUAAAGGAGUAAAGUGAGGCACUUGUGCCUUUUUGUAUUUACUUUAUGAAUAAGGAUCGGCUAACUCCGUUCCAGCAGCCCCGGUAAUACGGAGGAUCCGAUCGUUAUCCGGAUUUGUUGGGUUUAAAGUGAGACUAGAUGGGUUGUUAAGUCAGUUGUGAAAGUUUGCGGCUCAACCGUAAAAUUGCAAUUGAUACUGGCAGUCUUGAGUAUAGUUGAGGUAGGCGGAAUUCGUGGUGUAGCGGUGAAAUGCUUAGAUAUCACGAAGAACUCCGAUUGAGAAGGCAGCUUACUAAACUGCCACUGACAUUGAUGCUCGAAAGUGUGGGUAUCAAACAGGAUUAGAUACCCUGGUAGUC
This 460-nucleotide ribosomal RNA is filed under the name uncultured bacterium. RNAcentral's name for it is "partial 16S ribosomal RNA". It matches the Rfam family "Bacterial small subunit ribosomal RNA", at positions 338 to 795 of the family's 1533-position model. The record is from RNAcentral.